UACAGAUUUUGAAUAUGAACGUCUCAAA
RNAcentral lists this non-coding RNA (28 nucleotides) under Bombyx mori (domestic silkworm). Lineage: Eukaryota; Metazoa; Arthropoda; Insecta; Lepidoptera; Bombycidae. The record is from RNAcentral.